UACGAAGGGGGCUAGCGUUGCUCGGAAUGACUGGGCGUAAAGGGCGCGUAGGCGGAUGGCAUAGUCAGAUGUGAAAUCCCCGGGCUCAACCUGGGAACUGCAUCUGUGACUGCAUCGCUGGAGUGCGGCAGAGGGGGAUGGAAUUCCGCGUGUAGCAGUGAAAUGCGCAGAUAUCAGGAGGAACACCGGUGGCGAAGGCGGGUCUCUGGGACGUUACUGACGCUGAGGAGCGAAAGCGUGGGGAGCGAACAGG
RNAcentral lists this ribosomal RNA (253 nucleotides) under uncultured bacterium. RNAcentral describes it as "partial 16S ribosomal RNA". It matches the Rfam family "Bacterial small subunit ribosomal RNA", at positions 524 to 776 of the family's 1533-position model. The record is from RNAcentral.